UUAAUUGAAUCCAAAAUAGAGGAAAAUUAUUGUUAAUAAUUUUAUUGAAAUAUUAUUCCAAUUAAU
RNAcentral lists this transfer RNA (66 nucleotides) under Pteromalus puparum. RNAcentral's name for it is "tRNA-Asn". The record is from RNAcentral. Lineage: Eukaryota; Metazoa; Arthropoda; Insecta; Hymenoptera; Pteromalidae.